Molecule: long non-coding RNA, 363 nt
Organism: Engraulis encrasicolus (European anchovy)
Lineage: Eukaryota; Metazoa; Chordata; Actinopteri; Clupeiformes; Engraulidae
Exons: 2
Source: RefSeq, a predicted model, not a curated record
AUGUCAGAACCAUAGAACCCUAUUUUAUUAAAAUGUAACAUAAAAUACAAACUUCUCUAAAAAUGGUGAAUCUGUCAAUGGGGGAUAGAUUUACUCAACACCAUGUGACCAUCAAACCACAACUGACAACUUGGCAUGGAAAAAUGUGUCUAUCAACCUCACGUCAAGGCAGCCGAUAUGGGACCACCAGAACUCUAUGAUCUAUCAGCUCUGCUCAACACUCCAAAGGAUAAACAACUGACUGUGUUGAGAAGUCUGACACUAUUUUGGGGGACAUGUUAUUGCAAGAUAUAUGGAUCUCCUUCAGCCUCCAACUCCUAAUAAAAGAUUCAGAAAUGGACAACAAAUAAAUGACUAAAUUGC